GCCUGGUUAGCUCAGUCGGUUGAGCGUCCGACUUCAGCUCAGGUCAUGAUCUCGCGGUCUAUGGGUUCGAGCCCCUCAUCGGGCU
RNAcentral lists this transfer RNA (85 nucleotides) under Felis catus (domestic cat). It matches the Rfam family "tRNA". From Rfam's summary of the family: Transfer RNA (tRNA) molecules are approximately 80 nucleotides in length. Their secondary structure includes four short double-helical elements and three loops (D, anti-codon, and T loops). The record is from Rfam by way of RNAcentral. Lineage: Eukaryota; Metazoa; Chordata; Mammalia; Carnivora; Felidae.